This 253-nucleotide ribosomal RNA is filed under the name uncultured bacterium. Its description in RNAcentral is "partial 16S ribosomal RNA". It matches the Rfam family "Bacterial small subunit ribosomal RNA", at positions 524 to 776 of the family's 1533-position model. The record is from RNAcentral.
UACAGAGGAUGCAAGCGUUAUCCGGAAUGAUUGGGCGUAAAGCGUCUGUAGGUGGCUUUUUAAGUCCGCCGUCAAAUCCCAGGGCUCAACUCUGGACAGGCGGUGGAAACUACCAAGCUGGAGUACGGUAGGGGCAGAGGGAAUUUCCGGUGGAGCGGUGAAAUGCGUAGAUAUCAGGAGGAACGCCGGCGGCGAAAGCGACUCUCUGGCCUGUAACUGACGCUGAGGUGCGAAAGCGUGGGGAGCAAACAGG